AUACGUAGGUGACAAGCGUUAUCCGGAUUUACUGGGCGUAAAGGGCGUGUAGGCGGUCUUGCAAGUCAGAAGUGAAAUUCCUGAGCUCAACUCGGGCGCUGCUUCUGAAACUGCAGGACUUGAGUGCUGGAGGGGAUAGCGGAAUUCCUAGUGGAGCGGUAAAAUGCGCAGAUAUUAGGAAGAACACCGGUGGCGAAGGCGGCUAUCUGGACAGUAACUGACGCUGAGGCGCGAAAGCGUGGGGAGCAAACAGGAUUAGAUACCCUGGUAGUCCACGCUGUAAACGAUGGAUACUAAGUGUUGGAAAAAUCCAGUGCUGAAGUUAACGCAUUAAGUAUUCCGCCUGAGUAGUACGUACGCAAGUAUGAAACUCAAAGGAAUUGACGGGG
RNAcentral lists this ribosomal RNA (389 nucleotides) under uncultured bacterium. Its description in RNAcentral is "partial 16S ribosomal RNA". It matches the Rfam family "Bacterial small subunit ribosomal RNA", at positions 523 to 918 of the family's 1533-position model. The record is from RNAcentral.